AAAAAAGUUGUGACGGAGACAAAAAUACCUAUCCACAUUACCCCAGAGAGCUAAUGUCAGGUGAAAAUUAGCGUGAUGUAAGGUAUAUAAUGAUCACUCCCGAGCUGCCAAGUCGAAAGCUGUGCAAGUAGACAAGGCCGGAUGCCACCGUUACAGGGCUAAGGUUAAGGCUGUUGCCCGACCGUAAAUCAAGAUGUGCUUAUUGCCAUGAACUAGGGUGGUACCACGAGGAUAAUAUACCUUCGUCCCUAUG
This 253-nucleotide non-coding RNA is filed under the name Peptoclostridium acidaminophilum. RNAcentral's name for it is "T-box sequence". It matches the Rfam family "T-box leader". Rfam says of the family: Uncharged tRNA acts as the effector for transcription antitermination of genes in the T-box leader family. T-boxes are found upstream of many aminoacyl-tRNA synthetase genes and some amino acid biosynthetic genes usually in Gram-positive bacteria. The record is from RNAcentral. Lineage: Bacteria; Bacillati; Bacillota; Clostridia; Peptostreptococcales; Peptoclostridiaceae.